ACAGCAGUUUGGCCAAACGGUUGAUUUUUACAUGUGCUUUAUAAAUAAAAUUUUAUUUGAUUUAAUUUUGAUUUAUAUUCAAAGGUAUGAUGGCAUCAAAGCAUGUCCGAAUCCAAUGUUAGCUUCACAUCCUAUCUCCUGAGAUCUGAUACAUUUUUGAAGGCAACAUGUGUCCUUCACUGCCUUGAUAUCCCACAAUUCUGUGUAUUCCAUUCCGUGACAGUUGAGCUAAAAAUAAAAUAACCAGGGCACCUGAAUGUUGCGUUUCUGAGUAAGAUUUACUCUUAUAGUAAUUAAAUAUUCUCUCCGUUAUCACCAAAGCUUGUUAUAUUUUCGUUUAGUUUUUUUCUUGUAGACCAGUAACAACCUGGUCUCACAGAAUUCCGUGAAAUGUCCACGGGCCCUUAACUCAAAAUCCGUGAAGCCAUCACGGAAUUGCCCCAAAUUCCGUGACCCGGCCACGGAUAUUUCUCCAACGCAAGUCAAUGACACUGACCUCCCGUGGUCCACACACGGAUACCCGUUUCAAUGACGGAGUACAGAACUCGCUGAACGGACGUGCUUUCUCAUUUGGAAACGCAACAUUUGAAGUAUUUGUUUCUUUUCCAAUAUCAAAUGCCAUAAUGACAUUAACCAGACAGCUGUUGUAGUUAUUGCAUUGUCCUGUCAUCAUAAAAAUUACGUUUGUUUCAGUUACAAAAGUCCCGUGAUGGCACGGACCUCCACAACCUGACCUCACUCACUUGUUUAGGAACUUACAAGAUUUUCGUCGACACUGUUGCAAUGGCAUGUAAUUAACUUGGCAUUUUUUCUCGUCCUGUCAUCAUAAAAUCCAGUUUGAUGGCGUUUUACACACAUUUUGGCUAUAGUCCGAACUAAAAUCUGUGAUAGGAGCACGGAGUGAGUCUGUGCUCUAACGCAAGUCAAUGGCACUCAUCUUCCGUGGUCCGUACACGGAUCGUUUCAGUGAUGGAGUACAGACCUCACUCAAUGGACGUGCUAUCUCAUCUGGAAACGCAACAUUUGAAGUAUUUAUUUUUUACAACACCAAAUACCAUGACCAACCUGACUGUUGUUGUAACUAUUGCAUUGUCCUGCCAUCAUACAGAUUCACUUUGAUUCUGUUAGCCUAAAUAAAAUCUGUGAUACGAGCACGGAGUGAGUCUGUGCUGAGAUCACGGAUAACUCUAACGCAAGUCAAUGACACUCUUCUUCCGUGGUCCACACACGGAAACCCAGUCUCACGGCAGUUCGUGAUUUUGUCACGUAAUUUAAUCUAUUUAUUCGUGGCAGGCACACGUUUAUUUCCUUAUUUUCAUGAUUGCAGGACGUUUUUUAAACUAAUGCAUUUCAACUGGAGGCAUCUUUCGUGCAUCAGCACAAUAUUUUCUGAUUAAUUAUUAUUAUUAUUAUUUAAUUUUUCACAGGACAACAGAAGAAACUCACUGAAACUUGAAAAAAAAAAACCCGGAGCUUAACUUACUGUACAAAACUGAGCAACAUACUGUAUUGCUGGUGACAAAAACACAUUAAAACUUUUUUAGCUGUAAAAUGCGCAAUGGUUAUUUUUUUACUUUUUCAUUGAUUUUUAUUUUUUUCAUAGGCCUAGAUUUUUUAUUUUUUUUUAUUACAGAAUUCAAUAUCAAGUCCUUGACACAUAACUGUAACACAUUUUCACAUUAAGAAACAAUUUAGUUUAAAUAAAAAGAACAAAAAAAUAUAUAAAAAUAAAUAAAUAAAUUAUUUAUUAGCGAUAGGCCUACAGAUUAUUUUUUUUAAUUUAUUUUUUAUUUUUUUACUUUAGACUCUAAAGUUAAAAGUUUUUAUUAAGGCUAUUGUAAAGGCUUCUUAAAAAUGAUGUCGCUGAUGAGCCUCUGAUCGCUGUCAGAUUCUGUGAUAUGAAUGUCCGCUAAUGGGUUUAGAAUGAGCCCCGCUCGGCCCGUGUUCUGGCUUACUGUAAUAUUUCACCUGUAAUAAGACCGAAAUAAUAUAAUUAAAAUAAAGAAAUGAAUGAAUACAUGAUAACAUCUAAAUAAAUGUUGAUAGAUUUAGCGUUAUAGUUUUUAAAAUAUUAAUAAACAGCAAAUCAACACAGAAAGACCUAAAUAAUAAUAAUACAUAAUUAAUAAACAGCGCCGCCCCUCCCACCACGCGCAUCACGCGCUGUGCGUCAACCCCAAAGCGUCAAAAACUGAAGCGUGGUCAAGCGCCUCUAGCGUCACUGACAUGAGAUGUUUAUCGCUUUGAAAUCACGUUCAAGAAGUCUCAUUCAGCACACAUCGCGAUACUUUCCAUCAGUUUGCAAGAGCUGCAGGUUGGGUGAGUUAUACAGUCUAUGGUGAGUAGUAGUAAAUAUGCUCUUUUAAUGCCUGUCAUAAAACGUAUUCUGUCUUCUUUAUUAAUCAGAUGAGCGCCUUAUGUUUACUCUCUGUAUUACAUCGGUCAUCCGAGGCUGUCUUUGAGUUUCAUUGUGUUUAACUAAAUGAACACAGCUGCUAACUGGUUAAACUCUAUCUGUUCUGUUUUAUGUUCUUUCCCCUUGUAUUAAUUUUUUAGCUGAAAAGACGUAAAGUAAGCAGUCACCCCAGUGGUGCUUGUGGAGAGGUAUUCCUUCAGAAAUGGAGAAGACAGAAAGCUGCAGAGGCAGGAUUGUUUGCAGAUAAUGCUGUUCUUCUUUUUCAGAAGUUUUUGGGGAGCCAACCCUCACAAACCUUCCUAAAAACUAAAAGAGCUAUUACUGAGUCUCAGCGACUCUUGCCACGAUCAGCUCUUCCCAGAAGAGAAGGAAGACCAAGGAAAUGAUUUGCUCAGGAUGAGAAAUGAAGAUGGUCAUCUUGUGCUCAAGCAAACAGAAGUCCACUGAUGAUCUCAUCAACCAAAUGAGGGGUUUUGACCAAGUGAUGCUCUUGAAAGGACUGAAAGAAGAGGAUGUGGUAAAUUGUCUUCAGAGAAAAAGCUUCUCAAAAGAUCUUAAAACAGCUUGAAGAAUGGUCUGGGAUCUUAGGACUGGGAGAUCUCACUGGCACCCAGUUAACCUCCAUAGAGAACAUUUAUCAGAAGCGCUGUCUGGGCAGGGUAAGAAACAUCAUCAAGGAUGCCUCUCACCCUAACCAUGGACCUUUCACCCUCCUUCCAUCCGGCAGGCGUUACAGAAGCCUACGCUCUCGAACUAGUAGACUCAGGAAGAGCUUCUUCCCCGAGGCUGUGACACUCCUGAACGCCACACCACCAAUCUAACCUGCACCUGCUCUUUUACUGCACUGGUCACAGUACUUUACAUACAUGUAUUGCACUACUCAUAUUUUGCACAGACUGCACAUGGUUAAAUCCAUUACACUAUAAACUGUCUAAAGCUGUUACUGUACAAGCACAGUAAACUAUUUCUACAAUAAAUAUAAUUGCACUACUAUUAUUUUGCAUAUAAUAAAUUGUUAAACUAUACUUUUGCACACUCAUUCAACUGUAUUUAUUACCACUGUUCUCAAGUUCCUGCUAUUCAUAAUGUAUAUAUAAUCCUUCUUUGCUCUGUUCAUAAUGUACAUACACUCCCUACAUUACAUUCAUAUUUAUAUUCUGUAUAUACUCUGAUCAAUAUUGUAUAUAGCAACUCCACUGUAAAUUCUGUAUAUCAUAGCUUUACUUACUCUGCACUUUUAUGUAUAUAAAACACUAUAUUCUUGCACUUCUGGUUAGAUGCUAACUGCAUUUCAUUAGCUCUGUACUUGUACUCUGCAUAAUGACAAUAAAGUUGAAUCUAAUCUAAUCUAAUCUAAUCUUCUGGCUGAGAACAAGCUACACCACAUCAGUGCUGGAUAUCAACCAAAAGCUGUUUCCAGACACGAGAGAAGAUCACGAUGAAACCAGUUUAGAUGUGUUGAUAAGGAAUCAUUAUUUUCUGAAACAGUAUCACAUGUCUUAUAAGUAUCACAUGAUCUGUAUCACAGUUGACUGAAUGGGACUGUGACUUUUAAGGACAUUUCAUCACUCAUCUGUGUGAACUGAUUAAUAUAUGAGGUUAAUGUAUUUUUGAUUAUGAAUAAUUAUUUUCCUUGAAUCUUAUUUGUCUUGAUGCUACUUUAUCAUCUUUAUAGUCUAUGCUUCAAUAAAAUGAAUAUGAUGAA
Carassius gibelio (silver crucian carp) is the source of this 4121-nucleotide long non-coding RNA. RefSeq lists it as uncharacterized. NCBI's taxonomy places the organism in Eukaryota, Metazoa, Chordata, Actinopteri, Cypriniformes, Cyprinidae. The transcript is spliced from 5 exons. The record is from RefSeq and is a predicted model, not a curated record.